UGAUGCACCAAGUCUUGAGUCAAACUUAGAUGUGGUGAUACAAAGUCUUGAUGAGUCAAACUUGGGAAUCAAGUUUGGACAUUGUACAUUAAUACAAAAAACAUUUAGGCCAGGUGAUACACCAAGUCAUGUAGAUUAAAAUUUGGGAAUUAAGUUUAGACAUGGUGAUACACAAAGUCUUGAUGAGUCAAACUUGGGAAUCAAGUUUAGACAUUGUACAUUAAUACAAUAAACAUUUAGGCCAGGUGAUACACCAAGUCAUGUAGAUUAAAAUUUGGGAAUUAAGUUUAGACAUGGUGAUACACAAAGUCUUGAUGAGUCAAACUUGGGAAUCAAGUUUAGACAUUGUACAUUAAUACAAUAAACAUUUAGGCCAGGUGAUACACCAAGUCAUGUAGAUUAAAAUUUGGGAAUUAAGUUUAGACAUGGUGAUACACAAAGUCUUGAUGAGUCAAACUUG
Molecule: long non-coding RNA, 460 nt
Organism: Phyllopteryx taeniolatus (common seadragon)
Lineage: Eukaryota; Metazoa; Chordata; Actinopteri; Syngnathiformes; Syngnathidae
Exons: 2
Source: RefSeq, a predicted model, not a curated record